ACGCGAAAGGGGCUUCGGCCCUGAGUAGAGUGGCGAACGGGUGAGUAACACGUGGGUGACCUGCCUUCGAGUGGGGGAUAACAUCCCGAAAGGGGUGCUAAUACCGCAUGACAUCCUGCCCUUGAACAGGUGGAGAUUAAAGCUGGGGAUCGCAAGACCUGGCGCUUGAAGAGGGGCCCGCGUCCGAUUAGCUGGUUGGUGGGGUAAUGGCCUACCAAGGCGACGAUCGGUAGCCGGCCUGAGAGGGCGGACGGCCACACUGGGACUGAGACACGGCCCAGACUCCUACGGGAGGCAGCAGUGGGGAAUUGUUCGCAAUGGGCGCAAGCCUGACGACGCAACGCCGCGUGGAGGAUGAAGAUUUUCGGAUCGUAAACUCCUUUCGAUCGGGACGAAUGGCUAGUGGUUGAAUACGCCACUGGAUUGACGGUACCGAGAGAAGAAGCCCCGGCUAACUCCGUGCCAGCAGCCGCGGUAAUACGGGGGGGGCAAGCGUUG
This 498-nucleotide ribosomal RNA is filed under the name uncultured bacterium. RNAcentral describes it as "bacterial SSU rRNA". It matches the Rfam family "Bacterial small subunit ribosomal RNA", at positions 66 to 543 of the family's 1533-position model. The record is from RNAcentral.